AAUAAAAUAAAGAAAAUAAGA
Molecule: small RNA, 21 nt
Filed under: Arabidopsis thaliana (thale cress)
Lineage: Eukaryota; Viridiplantae; Streptophyta; Magnoliopsida; Brassicales; Brassicaceae
Description: ATSL044350
Source: RNAcentral